Molecule: long non-coding RNA, 5759 nt
Organism: Serinus canaria (Common canary)
Lineage: Eukaryota; Metazoa; Chordata; Aves; Passeriformes; Fringillidae
Exons: 4
Source: RefSeq, a predicted model, not a curated record
GCUCUCAUUUGCCUUUUUGAAUGUCUCGUGGAGAGCAGCAGGAAGAUCUUCUGAAUGUUAGGUAAACAUAGAAUGGACUAGAGCAGAAAAGUAACUUAAGGGGUUUUUAAUUCUUUUACCUUGCAAUAUAUCUGGACAAUGUGCCUAGCAUCUUUCUGAUCCCAGUGCUCCCAGCCUUGGAACAGCAAGGCCUGCAGGAAGGGUGAUGCUGGGCAUGGGGACAGCCCUGAGCACAGCAGAGGUGCUGGAGCUGGAAGAGCUAAUCCUCUGUUUAGACAUGGCACCAAUACUGGACCAGGUAAACAAGGCACUUGCUGCCUGCUCUGACAGAUUCCCAGAGCUCAUGUCCAUAAACAUCCUGGCCUAUUGGUACUUCCAGGAGACUGAAGCCAAGGUAACAAUUCAUGCUAAUAUUAACUUUGUGGAAAGCAGAUGCAAACAUAUCAAUGAGGGCUGGCACUAUGAUUAAAGGCUUUCCUUCUUUUCCUAAAGAUUUGUGUACUUUUACACCAACUCUGAAAUACAUUUACCACAACAUCUUUUGGCAUAAACUGAGUGUUUCUUGGGGCAUAUUGAUGGCAGGCAAUGUACCACCCCCCUCUUCUACAGUGACUUGUGCACACACUGUUUUCUGUUCACCAGUCUGAGGAUGUGCACUGAGAGCAGUUCUGAGUCUGAGCAGAGUGCCAGGCUGUGCUUGAACUCCUCAGAAUGUUUGCAUCCCCAAAUGAGCCCAGUGAUGAUGAAAUGCAGAGGAGCUGUGACGCCUUCUUGGGUUUGUGACCUAACCCUUGCCAAAUACCUCACCAGGACUUCCAGGCUUCUGCCUCCAGCACCUCCAGGGUUCCACUAUCCAAAUUCUGGAUGGACCUCACAUUGCUAUGACCAAGAGAAUCAAGUAAGAUAAAUUAAUCACAGACUUUUAUGUGCAAGGGAUAUAAACAGAGGAAAAUAUGCCAUUUCAUUUUUAGAUCAGCACCAUAUUCAGACUGUUUACUCUCUUAUGUAGUUUUUGAUUGUUUCCUUUUUCAGGGUACUGAUUUUAGAAGCAAAUGGUUGCAGGAGGGUCCCAGUUUUGGGUUUGGGGUUUGGUUGGCUUUUUUGAUCUGGGAAAGAUUUUGCUGUUUCACAAAUCAGAAAAAUAUUUUUCAUUCCAAAAUGGGCUCCAGACCUCAUUAAAACAGCAGGCUUUUUUGCUUCCAAGAUAGAAAAUCAUUACUAUGUUGAUUUUUCUCUCAUUUUAUGGAGCGAGCCUGCUUAGCUAGGAAAAUUUGUCAGAAAGAAGGAUGUCUCUGUGAGUGGCAUUCAUUGCUUGAGAACUCAGUACAAGAACAGCCUUUGAAAGAUUGAUAUUUUUAAAUACAAGUCCUGCACUUGUAGCACCCUUUGUCUAAUUGCUAUUGGAGGAGAAGGGAACAGGAACUGUAGUAGAUGCCUUGACUAUAAUCACUGCCAGUGGAAGAACAGAACUGUGAUAGAAUUUAAGAACUAAGCCAAUGGCUGUCCUAAUGAAGCAAUCCUAGCAAUGCUUCUUUCUCUAAUUAUUAUGGAGUGGAGAAAGAAGAAAGAGUGCUCCAGGAUGCUUACUGAUGCUUGCCUUCUGCUUCCUCUUGUUCCUCUGAUGUAUGGUCAGGAGCAAGAGAAUUACCAGGACUUCUACCAUGUAACUUCACCCACAACUUAACCAGCCCUUGAUUUGCUCAGUGAACCUAUUGCAUUUUCCUUUUAUUUUGACAACACUGACCAGCCUGAAUUCCUCCUCACCAGCAUAAGCUGUUUGCUCCCACUCUAGCAUUUUGUAAUUCUGAUGUAACUCCAUUACUGUGGAGUUUGUGAGUAAAGUGUCUCUGCUAUAUAUGUGCUAACCAGUAACUCAGCAGAAACAGCCUCAAUAGACUUCAUUCUUCACUGAUGUGCUUGAUAUACAAACAAAUUAUUCUUUACACAAAUACAAGUACUCAAGUUUCCCCAGGUAGUUGAUUAUUUCUAUUUAAUGAUGUAUCAGUAUAGGGAUACAGCUCCUGGUUUUUCCAUUAUAAUCCAGUCGUCAGCUGGACUCCAGGACAAAAUUCCUCCUUGCGUGUCAAUGUCUCACAAUGCACUUGUGCUUCCUCCUGCCAGAAAUUAUUUUAUAAAGGGGCAUUUAAAAACAAUGGAAAACGCCAAUGGAAAAUGUGAUGCAAAUGUUCAUACAUUUAAAUCCAUGAGAAAUUUAGAUUGAUAGCUAAUUCAGGCCUGAAGUGCUAUAGCUGGCCAGAUCAUAUAAAAGCUAAAGUACACAAAAAAACUACAUCUUUUGUGCUUUGUAGACAGGGGAGGGAAAGAAAAAGAAAAUGUAUUUAUGUGCUAUGAGCUUACACAUAUUUAGCUGAUUAUUUGAACUUUUCUAGGAGUCCCUAAAAAUAAACUGAAAACAUCUUAAACUACUUAUGACAAAUAGAAUUGCAGGAAAACUCUAUUGUUUCCAAAUGUGCAUUGAAAAAAAUGAGUGAACGUGAGGCUGCUCUGUAAGAGAAAGAAUCUUAAUGGAAAAACUUAUAGAACUUAAAGUGGAACUGUAUGAAAGUAGCAGAUGAGUCUUGCUGCUUAACAAAAUUUUAUCUAUCGGUACAAAGGUUAACUUCAUGUUAACUUCAGAAUAUAUGUUUCAAAGUUCAAUUAAUAUACUUCCAACACAUUACUUAUUUUAGUAAAAAUUUACUGCAGAGGCAAUACAGACAGAGAUCAAUACAGGUCUGACUUCUUCUGUGCCAUUUCUGCUUUGUAUAAUAGGAGACAAGGGCAGAACAAGUGUUUGAAAAGUUCACUGUGACCCACUUUGAAAUAUCAUACUGUUUCUGACCAGAACCAGACCAGCAUUCAGAUUAAAGAUAUGGAAAUGUAUUUAUCAACAGGCAAGGAAAACUUGGAACUUGGAUGUUAAGUUCCAUUAGUCAUAAACUAAUGACAUUCUGUAUGUAAAUACUUCUAAAUUUUACUUGAUAGAGCUCUUCCCUGGCUUCUACAAAAUAAAAGUGCAAAAGUUUAGUUAUCUUCUUCCUCUAAAACAGAUAAAUAUGCUGUUUGUGGGGCUCUUUAUUUGCACACUUUCCAAAGUUUUUUCACUGUUUAAGAGAAAAAAAAAAUAAUGUACUAUUUCUGCAUCAGGAAAUGGCCAGGGAAUAUUAUCAAUUAAUGUAAAAUAGAAAAAAAAAAAACCUUCUAAGAUAUCUUUCUCCACUUUAAACAUGUAAGACAUAAUCAGUGUGUGAUUCUGGGCAGGUGCUGCAGGGUUCCUUGUAAAACCCUGACAUCUGUCUGUGAGCAGGCUCCUCUCAGGCUGGCUGUGAGCCACAGGCAGUUCCAGGGAAGGGAAUACAGGAGUAUCUUGUGAGGAGGUGCUUUUUCAGGAAGUAUCUAAGUGCUACAGAACAUUCCUAUGCCCUUUGGGUAUUAUAAGGUAAUAUGCAGUGGCCAACUUUAGUGAAUCUUACCUCAGUUGUCUUUGGAGUUUGUUCUUUGCAUCUGCUACUUCAGCAACACAAUUAUUAAAGCUCAAGUUAAUACAGAUUAAAUUAUUCCACCUCUCCCCAGCUGUGCACUCCAGUCUAAGUCUGCAUCCUUUCAGAGCAUGUCAGAGUUGGCCCCUGCAUGUUGAGAGCACCUGAUAUUGUCUCCAUUGAAUUCAGCCCAUGAUGCAGGAGUUGAAGCACUCAGCAGGGAUUUCAAACAACUUGCAGCCUGAGCCCCUGGCUUCAAAACUACUGGCGUGGAACUGCAAUUUAUUGAUCUGGGUCUGUUGAAGCAGAAGGCACUUGCUCUGCUCCUGAGUGCUGCAGGGAGCUGCUCUACCAUCAUCUCCACUGGCCUCCAGUGAACAGACAACCACAAGCGUGAAAAACACCAGGUAGCUGGGUGGUGUGAGGGAAAGCCUCAGUGCAAAAAGGAGGAGGUGUUCAGGGGGAACCCUCAUGCCAGCACUGCUGUAAGUGAGAAAGAAAAGGGCAGACCAGAGUUGUGGUUUCCCAUCUCUCAUGUUUUGGGGGACGGAUUCACUUAGCAUAAUUCAAAUUGUACAUCCCUGGAAAAUUUGUUUAAGCAUUUCUGCUCACCUUGAUCACAAAGAUGGAAAUAUGUUGUUCCAUCUCUGCUUUCUUACUCUCAAGGAAUUUUUGGUAUAACUUCAUCUCCUUUGGCUCUUCCAAAAGCAAGAAAGGCCUGGCAAGCCUUGGACUGGAAUAGAGUAGUAAGGAUAAAGAAAGAAAAAGCCUUGCUUUCCAAAGCAUCAGGAAGACAGCAGACUCAUUGAUAUUUUUGGUAAAUAUUGCCAUAUGGACUUCUCAACUGUUAUUACCAUCAGUCUGCCUGAUGUGGAGAUAGAGCUGGAUUAAAGGUGAGCAGAAAUGCCACCCUAAAACACUCUAAAGCCUGUUGUUCACCCAGAGAGCCCUGCACUGGCUCAGAGAAGGAGGGGUGCUGAGGAAGGAAUUAAUUUUUCCUUUUUGGUGCUUUUUGUAGGGAAUGUUCUAUAUAACCUUGGGAACAGGGACUGUUGGACCCAAAAGAAAAGUAUUUGGACACAUACCUCAGUUUAAAAUGUGGAAAGUCUUGCUGACAUCAGUGAAUCUAAUCCAUAUGUUGGACAGGAAGCACAGACCUGAAGUGCUGUACUGUGCUGUGGUCUCACACCAAGCCAUCUUUUUCAAGGGCAAGGUAGAGUAUAAACUUCUCAGAUAUGUCUUACUGGCCAAUUCCUCCUACCACAGACAUCUGAAUUUGCUUAAACAUUUGACUCCACUUCCAAACAGCAUUUUGUUCAUUAGUUUCCUGUGGAAGGUAAUUACAGAACAGUAAGUGCAGGAGCUGUACAAAUAUCCAGGGGUCUUGAGCUUUUACCUGAGGUAACUAUGCUUGAAAGCCCCUCAAAGACCUUAAAUAAACAUAUUUUCAGAUUUUUUUCUACGCUUUUGUUUGGUUUUGGUGGUUUUUUUUUUUUUUUUUUUUUUUUUUGUUGUUGUUUUGCUUGGUUUGGGGGUUCAUUUUGUUUUGUUUCUUCGGUAGUGGACAGCUACUGGUUUUGUGUUUGGCUUGGUUUUUUAUUUAAUUCCUAGAGUGUUCAUUCUAAAAAGCUUGCAGUUGUUGAAGUGCUGAGCCACAAAAAAGAUAACUUUGCAGUAUAAUUCUCUAAAAAAGAUUUUAUACCAAGUUGUGAUGGUACCUUUCCAAAUAUUACCAGAUACUAUUUUCUAUUUCCAAGGUGACACCAUCUCAAAUAAUAACUUACACACUUGUAUAUUAAAACAAACAAAUUUUGAAACUAAUUGGUCUGAAAUGGGAGUAUUUGAGACUUCCAACUGUGCUUGGAUCAGGAAAAUAUCCUUUUUACAGCAGCUAGGCUGUGAUGUCAGGAGCAGAAGAGAGGACAAGGCUGCGUUCAGGUGGCUAUGGGAGAAAGAGGGAGGGAGCAGUGACGGGGAUAAGGUGGCCAGGAAUAGGGUCCAGAUCGCAUCACCAGAUGGUGCACACUUGCUUGGUUUGGAAACUUAUUUUAUUAUUUUUUACAUACCAAGCACAGCGACCUUCUAAAUUGCUCAGAAGUUGAUUGGCCAAGUUAAGACAGUGUGAUCUUCCAAAUAAAUGUACUCAUUCAAUUAAUGGAGAUGGUCUAUCAGCAAGAUACUGAAUUAAUAUACUCAGAAUUACCAUUUUACCGAAAUGAUACAUAAUCUGAGAAUGAAGCGAGUUGCUGUGUAACGCUUCCCUCGGCAGCGGGCCAGCGC